Molecule: long non-coding RNA, 191 nt
Organism: Lutra lutra (Eurasian river otter)
Lineage: Eukaryota; Metazoa; Chordata; Mammalia; Carnivora; Mustelidae
Exons: 3
Source: RefSeq, a predicted model, not a curated record
UAACUAAAGGUGUUUCUAAAAGUACAAAAUUCUGCUAACUGUAAGACUGAUGGAAAUAAAGGAAGCAACUCUGUAUGUAGGAAAGUAGAAGAUAUAUAAGAAAGAUUUAAGGAAUGGGAGUACAUUUUAUUGAAAGUAAAAGGAGAUAAUUUUGUCCUAAAUGAGAUGGUUAAGAAAAAUUUUAGGAAUGG